AUUUUUUCCAUCUCAACCCGCGUGUCUGUGUGGAUGACACUGUCGCCCUCCUCCUCCCAGCCGAACACGCAACCCCGAACAGUCGAGCGAGAGAGAGAUAGCCAUGGCGAUUUGGAGCUCCGCCUCACCGCUCGAUCCAGUGUUUUGAUGGUGACUCGUCCGCGCUCUCCCUCGUGCUGCCCCGCUUCCUCCGCCUCCCUUCUGUUCCUGCCGGCGGGAUCUGCAGCAUCUCUUGGCCCCGCACCGAUCCGUCCCCAUUUCCGUCGUUGGCGAUUUUGUUCGUCGGAUUCAGCCCCCCCCCCUCCCUUUUUGUUGUUCUUGUGAUCUGUUAGGUAGGGAGUUGGUUUUGUCUGUCUGAUUUGAUGAUUGUAUCCAUCCCCGCAGCUUUUUUCCGUGUAGAUUUGUUUAGGUUGCACCGUUUCUGGGAUGCGUUUGAUUGUUCUGCUAAGCGCGGUAGCUGCCGUAGCUAGGAUGUGUGUCAGUUCGAUGUGCUGAUCUAUAAUUGAUUGGAUGUUGGAGUCCGAGUUGUUCAUGUGAGGCUGGCUUGCUUAGUUGUAGCACUCUGAUGUAUUCAGUCAAUUCGAACGGAUGUAUUCUGUUCCCUGGCCUUUAAUCCCUAGACCAUUUCUCUUCACUGGUAUCGUUUAGUGGGUAUGUGGUUUACUCUGUAAUUUCUAUUUUGGAUUUACAGUGCAAUCCCUAUUGUUUUUUAGAGUGAUUUUCAGUGUAAUUCAUACUGGAUUUUCAUUGAUUUUCACUGUAAUCCGUACUGGAUUUCCACUGUAAUUUUCUUGUGGAUAGGUAGUAUAUUUGUAGUGUAAAUCCAAAGCAAUUUGUAGUGUAAUCCCCGGUUAUUUUACAGUGUAAUUUCAAUGUAUUUGCACUGUAUUUGCUAGUGGAAUAAUAGUGUAUAUGUCCUAAUUGCAGUGUAUUUUUGUCAGUGGGGUUGCACUGUAUUUGUUAGUGGAAUUACAGUGUAUUU
RNAcentral lists this ribosomal RNA (982 nucleotides) under Triticum aestivum (bread wheat). Its description in RNAcentral is "partial small subunit ribosomal RNA". The record is from RNAcentral. Lineage: Eukaryota; Viridiplantae; Streptophyta; Magnoliopsida; Poales; Poaceae.